RNAcentral lists this ribosomal RNA (460 nucleotides) under uncultured bacterium. RNAcentral's name for it is "partial 16S ribosomal RNA". It matches the Rfam family "Bacterial small subunit ribosomal RNA", at positions 338 to 795 of the family's 1533-position model. The record is from RNAcentral.
CCUACGGGUGGCAGCAGUGAGGAAUAUUGGUCAAUGGACGAGAGUCUGAACCAGCCAAGUAGCGUGAAGGAUGCCUGCCCUAUGGGUUGUAAACUUCUUUUAUAUGGGAAUAAAAUGUUCCACGUGUGGGAUUUUGUCUGUACCAUAUGAAUAAGGAUCGGCUAACUCCGUUCCAGCAGCCGCGGUAAUACGGAGGAUCCGAGCGUUAUCCGGAUUUAUUGGGUUUAACGGGAGCGUAGGUGGAUUGUUAAGUCAGUUGUGAAAGUUUGCGGCUGAACCGUAAAAUUGCAGUUGAAACUGGCAGUCUUGAGUACAGGAGAGGUGGGCGGAAUUCGUGGUGUAGCGGUGAAAUGCUUAGAUAUCACGAAGAACUCCGAUUGCGAAGGCAGCUCACUGGACUGCAACUGACACUGAGGCUCGAAAGUGUGGGUAGCAAACAGGAUUAGAUACCCGUGUAGUC